AAUACCUCCCAGGCAUGCUUAUGCAAGAUAACCAUCAGAUGUCCAAACUUAUCGACAGAGAUAGGACAAGCAACCCCAUAUCACCAGGAAGCAGGAAACGACCCCCUAACAACAACUGAAGCAUGCGAAGAGUACCUCCACUAUCUCAUUGAACAUGGAAGUAAAGAUGUAUAAAGAGAGACUGUUUGAACUGCUCAGUACGGUAGUUGGCGGAGCGCAGACUCCCCUGCCGUCCAGCGCUGUAUUUGCUCAUAUUCUACUUGCUACAAUUAAUAAAAUUCUAAUUGGAUUAUGAUCCAUUGUGGUCUCAAUUUAUGACAAUUUUGGUGCUGUGACUCGGAUAAGGAACGGUGAGCUUCUGUCCUCCGGGGAGGCGCCCCGCGGCAAUCCGCGGCCCCGCGACCGACAGCUUACCUCAACCUUACCGACGAACCUAAAUUCUAGAAUGAUGAGCAAAGGAGAAACCGGUAAAAUCCCAUAAAAAUUCUGUGCACGGGAGUCCGGACGAAGACGCAGGGCGCAAACAGCUGUCCGGACUGCUGAGCGUGGAUGGACUCAUGCCAGUCGCAUUAAAGGCCCAGUGACGAGACCCCACUGGAAAGUAAUCAGUACUCCAGGUGACACCAAGAUAACUCUGAAAAGAUAACGUGAUUAUUGUUCCUCGCCUAAUCUAUCACACCUCUGAGGAGGUGCUACGCCACUUUGAAGGAAACCUGAAUAGACAAAAACGAGAGCCAAUUACGGCAGUAACCCUAGCUACACUGCUGAUAGCGGGUGGAGUUGGAGCAAGUACAGGCAUAGCCUCCCUGGUAAAAGGUCAGGAGUUACAAAAUUUGCAGAUGGCUGUAGAUGAGGAUUUAGCAAAAAUAGAGCAAUCUAUUCAAAAUUUAGCCACUUCAGUAAAAUCUUUAUCAGAAGUGGUGCUGCAAAAUAGGAGAGGAUUAGACCUAUUGUUCUUAAAGGAAGGAGGGUUAUGCGUAGCUCUCAAUGAAGAAUGUUGUUCGUUUGCUGACCAUACGGGAGUAGUCCAAGACACCAUGUCUGAACUCCGGAAAAGGACCGCUUAUUAUGUUGAUUCUGGGACUUAUAUUUGGACCUUGUAUAUUACGCUGUAUUUUACAUUUUAUUAAAGAACGGUUUGACCUAGCUAAAUUGCUUAUUUUGACUACAAGGUCUGAAGCAAAAUAUAAGAGUGUAUCUAUUAAUGAAGAUGAUGAUUGUUGUGAAUGCAUUAUGCCACAUAAGAACUAUGAUUGUAAUUGUGAGAUAUUACCUUGUGAGUGUUAUGAUAAAUGUCGGAAUUGUGGAAGAAGAUUUGCCUGCAGUGCCGAAAAUGAAAGUAGUGUCUAAUAAACAAUAAUAGGAUAAAAAGAAAAAGGGGGGAUUGUGAGAAACUGAACUAAGGUAUUGUUUAUUAAGACUUAUGUUAAGCUCAAUGUAAAGGUUAUGCGAAGAAUACCUCCCAGGCAUGCUUAUGCAAGAUAACCAUCAGAUGUCCAAACUUAUCGACAGAGAUAGGACAAGCAACCCCAUAUCACCAGGAAGCAGGAAACGACCCCCUAACAACAACUGAAGCAUGCGAAGAAUACCUCCCAGGCAUGCUUAUGCAAGAUAACCACCAGAUGUCCAAACUUACCGACAGAGAUAGGACAAGCAACCCCAUAUCACCAGGAAGCAGGAAACGACCCCCUAACAACAACUGAAGCAUGCGAAGAGUACCUCCACUAUCUCAUUGAACAUGGAAGUAAAGAUGUAUAAAGAGAGACUGUUUGAACUGCUCAGUACGGUAGUUGGCGGAGCGCAGACUCCCCUGCCGUCCAGCGCUGUAUUUGCUCAUAUUCUACUUGCUACAAUUAAUAAAAUUCUAAUUGGAUUAUGA
This is a non-coding RNA of Phalacrocorax carbo (great cormorant), 1879 nucleotides long. NCBI's taxonomy places the organism in Eukaryota, Metazoa, Chordata, Aves, Suliformes, Phalacrocoracidae. The record is from RefSeq and is a predicted model, not a curated record.